This 108-nucleotide ribosomal RNA is filed under the name Candidatus Malacoplasma girerdii. Lineage: Bacteria; Bacillati; Mycoplasmatota; Mycoplasmoidales; Mycoplasmoidaceae. The record is from RNAcentral.
UGUGGCAUCGAUAUCGUGUGUGGUAACACCUGUUCCCAUCCCGAACACAGCAGUUAAGCACCAUGGAGUCGAAGGUAGGAGCAAUCUGAGAAUAGAAAAAUGCCACGC